Molecule: ribosomal RNA, 512 nt
Filed under: uncultured bacterium
Lineage: Bacteria
Description: partial 16S ribosomal RNA
Rfam family: Bacterial small subunit ribosomal RNA
Source: RNAcentral
GAUGAACGCUAGCGGCAGGCCUAACACAUGCAAGUCGAGGGGUAACUAGAGUGAUAGCAAUAUUACUUUGGCUAGACCGGCGCACGGGUGCGUAACACGUAUGCAACCUACCUUAUACUGGGGAAUAACUUCGAGAAAUCGGCGCUAAUACCCCAUAACACUGCGGAGAGGCAUCUCUUUGCAGUUAAAGCUCCGGCGGUAUAAGAUGGGCAUGCGUCCAAUUAGCUAGUUGGUGAGGUAACGGCUCACCAAGGCUACGAUUGGUAGGGGUUCUGAGAGGAUGGUCCCCCACACUUGUACUGAAACACGGACCAGACUCUUACGGGAGGCAGCAGUGAGGAAUAUUGCGCAAUGGACGAAAGUCUGACGCAGCCAUGCCGCGUGCAGGAUGACGGCCCUAUGGGUUGUAAACUGCUUUUGUACAGAACGAAAAGGUUUCUACUAAUACUAGGAGCUCAUGACGGUACUGUAAGAAUAAGCACCGGCUAACUACGUGCCAGCAGCCGCAGUAA